RNAcentral lists this ribosomal RNA (163 nucleotides) under Maurandya barclayana. Its description in RNAcentral is "5.8S ribosomal RNA". It matches the Rfam family "5.8S ribosomal RNA". Rfam says of the family: 5.8S ribosomal RNA (5.8S rRNA) is a component of the large subunit of the eukaryotic ribosome. The record is from RNAcentral. Lineage: Eukaryota; Viridiplantae; Streptophyta; Magnoliopsida; Lamiales; Plantaginaceae.
CAAAACGACUCUCGGYAACGGAUAUCUYGGCUCUCGCAUCGAUGAAGAACGUAGCGAAAUGCGAUACUUGGUGUGAAUUGCAGAAUCCCGUGAACCAUCGAGUCUUUGAACGCAAGUUGCGCCCGAAGCCAUUAGGCCGAGGGCACGUCUGCCUGGGCGUCAC